Molecule: long non-coding RNA, 664 nt
Filed under: Vigna radiata
Lineage: Eukaryota; Viridiplantae; Streptophyta; Magnoliopsida; Fabales; Fabaceae
Description: long non-coding RNA (VRAD_LNC010402)
Source: RNAcentral
UUUCAAUCCACAAACAAACCUGCCUAUAUAUUGUCCAUCCCAAUCUGUUCAUUGAUGAAAAAUCAUAAAGUACUAACAUUAUCAUCAUAAUGUAUUGACAUCCAAUAUGUUCUAACAAUAUCAUAAUAGUAAUAUCAUCCAAUUCUAAGCAAAAAUAAAUGUACCAAUAUCAUAAUAUACUAACAUCUAAAUGUACUAACAUCACUAUGAUCAAUAACAAAAUGAAACUAAAUUGUACAAAGUCUUCAGAUAGUUCUUCAUCGUCCAGCUCAUUUGUAGAUGGUUGGACUGGUGUGGGCUGGACUGAUCUGGGCUGAUGAGGGACGGCGGGUGACGGGGAGGGUAGUGGCUGGGUCGGAGGGACAGUGGAAGGAGUGUCUGAUGUUUGAGGCAGCGCUCUCAUGACCAGGGACUUGAAGCUUGAAAACUCGUCUCUCAAGUUAGUGUAUUCGUCUCUCAAUGCACGGUUUUCCUGGUCACGUUGCUCUAGUAGCUGUGUCAAGCGCUGGAUGGCCUCGGCAGCAGAAGGGGUGGAAGAAGAAGAAGGUUGGUGCUUCAGUGUACCUCCUUUUGAUGUUGUAUAGUUUGCAGCAAGUUGUCCUGCAUUGUAGACUCGUCCCUUUUUCUUCCCACCAACGACAUCGACCCAGCACUGUAUCCUACG